RNAcentral lists this ribosomal RNA (497 nucleotides) under uncultured bacterium. RNAcentral describes it as "partial 16S ribosomal RNA". It matches the Rfam family "Bacterial small subunit ribosomal RNA", at positions 28 to 507 of the family's 1533-position model. The record is from RNAcentral.
GAUGAACGCUGGCGGCGUGCCUAAUACAUGCAAGUCGAGCGAACAGACGAGGAGCUUGCUCCUUCGACGUUAGCGGCGGACGGGUGAGUAACACGUAGGUAACCUACCUAUAAGACUGGGAUAACUUCGGGAAACCGGAGCUAAUACCGGAUAAUAUUUCGAACCGCAUGGUUCGAUAGUGAAAGAUGGCUUUGCUAUCACUUAUAGAUGGACCUGCGCCGUAUUAGCUAGUUGGUAAGGUAACGGCUUACCAAGGCAACGAUAUGUAGCCGACCUGAGAGGGUGAUCGGCCACACUGGAACUGAGACACGGUCCAGACUCCUACGGGAGGCAGCAGUAGGGAAUCUUCCGCAAUGGGCGAAAGCCUGACGGAGCAACGCCGCGUGAGUGAUGAAGGUCUUCGGAUCGUAAAACUCUGUUAUUAGGGAAGAACAAACGUGUAAGUAACUGUGCACGUCUUGACGGUACCUAAUCAGAAAGCCACGGCUAACUACGUG